Molecule: small RNA, 30 nt
Filed under: Bombyx mori (domestic silkworm)
Lineage: Eukaryota; Metazoa; Arthropoda; Insecta; Lepidoptera; Bombycidae
Description: ovarian small RNA-12538
Source: RNAcentral
AUCUUAAGGAACAAAUGGUGCUCCGACGGC